GUCUACAGCCAUACCACCCUGAACGCACCAGAUCUUGUCUGAUCUCGGAAGCUAAGCAGGGUCGGGCCUGAUAGUACUUGGACGGGAAAUUGACAGCUUUUAAGGAGCAAGUAUUAAGGACA
RNAcentral lists this ribosomal RNA (122 nucleotides) under Callithrix jacchus (white-tufted-ear marmoset). Lineage: Eukaryota; Metazoa; Chordata; Mammalia; Primates; Cebidae. The record is from RNAcentral.